GGGGCUGGGGCUCAGUGGCGGAGCGCUUGCCUCACACGGAAGAGGCCCUGGGUUCGAUCCUCAGCACCACCU
Ictidomys tridecemlineatus (thirteen-lined ground squirrel) is the source of this 72-nucleotide non-coding RNA. NCBI's taxonomy places the organism in Eukaryota, Metazoa, Chordata, Mammalia, Rodentia, Sciuridae. The record is from Rfam.